This 43096-nucleotide long non-coding RNA is filed under the name Malus domestica (apple). RNAcentral's name for it is "long non-coding RNA (MDOM_LNC002316)". The record is from RNAcentral. Lineage: Eukaryota; Viridiplantae; Streptophyta; Magnoliopsida; Rosales; Rosaceae.
GAAUACCAACAAACACAGAGCUCAACAUAAGAAUUAUCAUUCUUGUGAAAUCCAUCGCACACCAGCCAACCACUUAUUCAAGUAAUAUCAUUUACUGGAAUACCAACAAACACAAGCAUGACGACACUGCUACAAGGAACAAGCGCUCUGUUCGACCACUUUGUCUGUACAAAAGCACAUCUGCACCCAUUCGAAGAUAAGAAUGACAUCAAGAGAAGAUGAAAAGGCAUGUCUCCCAUACUCAAACUAUAAACAGUAUUAGAAGAAAAAAAAUAUCAUUCCAGGGAUUACCUCGACGAUUAAAGGAGAAUUAUAUUCAUGCCAGAUAACUGGAGCUAGCACCAUUCAAGGACAACCAAUUGAUGCAUGUUUAAAUCGUUGGCUGUAGAUAAUCCUAUCUUUACAAGUCCAGAGUUGCUAGCUGCAUCAAUAAAGCCGACAAAUACGUUAGUCCCAUUGUGUUGUCCUGACUGAUUGCAUAGUUGAUUUACAUUGAUACAUAAAGGACGAACAAAUUACACUCAAGUGUUCAAUUACUUACACUGAAAUCUGUAGGCGCAGCAGCCAGCCACCAAGUCUAGUUACACUGGCAUUCUAGCAAGCGGUGCCAAUAAGCCAUGCUCUCUCCAACCGUUGUCUUUGUAGAGAAAGAGAAACAUAUGUAUACGAACCUACCACAAGAUGACAGAGGCACUGAAAGAUGAGUAAGCAUUCUGCCGUAUGGAAACCACAGAAGUACAUAUAUUAUACACAAGCACUUGAGUGGUUGAUGUAAGCUAUCAUUUUCCCUCUGAUAAUCCUACCUUUACAGUUCAAUAGUUUUGUCUCUGGACCGACAAAGUCCCACAUACGUUCAGUCUUAUAUAGCUGUUCAAGCGAGCUGAGGUCUAGAGGUCCCCGUCCUGGAAGGAAUUGCGAGAGUGGGAGGCGUUGAAUUGAAAGUCCAUUUUGUAACGCCCCGAUUCCGACAUACAUCCAGGAUCGACACGUGACGUCACCAAAUACCCGUAUCUCAACAUACCCCGCUUCCGGGAUAUGGCAAAUCACAACUCGAGAAUCGAAUUGCAUAGUAAUUUUUUUGUAUACUUUAUUACUGCAUCUAACCUCAUCGUUAGACUGCAUACGUACCCUCAACAGGAAUCAAGCCAUUUGUAGUUCGUCGCACUUGAACAAUCAUCGCUUAAAUCUCUAUGUCUCAACAUAAUACCACGAUUCAGAUAUGCAACAUAUCAAGGAACAUUCAACGAAGCACAAUAAUAUUCUCUAGUCAUGUCAUUUACACACACAUAAGCUUUCAAACGCCAUUCAAUAAUCACAGCAAUCAAUAACACAUACAAUACAUCAAAAUGCAGGGUUAAAGCGACACCGUUCGGUUGAAGCCUACAUCUCUGAAGUUGAAAUCAAAUCCAAUGAACCAACAAGUCAAAUGCUACGAUUUCGGACCACUCAACGAAGUCCAUUAACAUCGGGUUUUGGACCACUCAACGAACUCGCGAAGUAGAAGGGAUUCUGAACCAUCACUCAACGGAAUCCAAGUGGAUACGAUUUCAAACCAUCACUCAAUGGAAUCGCGAAGUUGAAAGGAUUCCAAACCAUCACUCAACGGAAUCCAAGUGGAUACGAUUCCGGACCAUCACUCAACGGAAUCGCAGAGUAGAAGGGAUUCCAGACCAUCACUCAACGGAAUCCAAGUGGAUACGAUUUUGGACCAUCACUCAACGGAAUCCAAUUGGAUACGAUUCCAGAUCAUCACUCAAUGGAAUCGCAAAGUAGAAGGGAUUCCGGACCAUCACUCAACGGAAUCCAAGUGGAUACGAUUUCGGACCAUCACUCGACAGAAUUGCAAAGUAGAAGGGAUUUCGGACCAUCACUCAAUGGAAUCCAAAUGGAUACGAUUCCAGACCAUCACUCAACAGAAUCGCAGAGUAGAAGGGAUUUCGGACCAUCACUCAACGGAAUCGCAGAGUAGAAGGGAUUUCGGACCAUCACUCAACAGAAUCCAAGUGGAUACGAUUCUAGACCAUCACUCAACGAAAUCACAGAGUAGAAGGGAUUCUAGACCAUCACUCAACGAAACCCCAGUGGAACCCAGUUCGGGACACUUAAUGGAACCAAGCGGAAGUCCAAGGAACAUAUCAACGGCUCGAAGAAACAAGACAUGAAUCAAGUUACUCAAGUUACAAAGGCUCAACGAAAUGAAACAAAGCACAAGUAUUAAAUGUAGAAUGGCUCAACGAAACGAGAAAUGAAAUAAUGAACCGAGGGGUGAGACAUGUAUCGAAGCAACAAACCCCAUGACGAUGGGUUAACGGUCCACUACUAGCCCUCACUUUUCAUCACAUCAAUCCAAAUAUACAAAACAAACCAUAUUUCCAAUAUGCACGUCAAAUCACAAUUAAUAAACAUAGAUCGAUGCUAAAAAUAAAAAUAACACUUCAAUAGAAAGCACAUUUAAUAAACAAGUAUAACUCAAUAUGGUGCCACCAAUACAUAUAUCGAGACACACGUCAACCGAGAACGACACGUCAUUGUGAUAAGCUAACUAAGUUCCAUCAAGCCUCAACAACAAACUAGAGAUAAACGACACUCUAGAGUAUAGCACGUUGACUAGAACGUCAACCGUCGAUAAGGUAAGUCCAUUAAGAUCAACAAUCUAAGGUUAUUCAAUCCGGAAGAUCCGCACAUCGGAUUUCCAAUCCGUAAGUUCUCAAAGGUCCAACAAUUGAUAACUAGGGUGCUCACAAAAUUGUACGACGAUCCACGAUCGAAUUGUCGUCAAUACAAACAAGUGGUGGUCCAAUUUGAUCACCACAACAAACAAUUGAAUUUCAGGAAACCGAGCUAGACGUAGGUUCAUAGGGUCACUAGAAGGUAUUUGGAACUUAGACAACACUCGUGGACGGUUCCACGCACCUCUACACGCGGUGGUAGCCAAGGUGGAGGGUUUUGAAAAUCUGAAUUUUCAACAUUAACUAAAUAAGCUCAAAUUUACGUGGUAGCUAAAGCUCAACAAGGGAAACACUUUUCAAAACUCUAAAAUGAAUAUGAAAGUACGAACCAAGCAUACCAACUUGAAGAUUAUGAAGAGUAGAUGAAGUUUCAUACCUCACUCGAAGGAAAUGGUUGCCGGAAUCACCGGAAAAAUGACAAAAUCGCCGGAAACCCACGGAACUUUGCUGUCUAGAACUAGAAAAAUGGAUUAAAAAAAUUGGGAAAUCUAACACUACAGAGAUGUAGGGUUCGUCAAGAGUUUUUCAUGGACACCAAGAUCACCCAAAACGAAGAUCGGAUGAAGGAGAUACAAGCGAGUCAAGUUUGUGGGUUAACGAAUCAAAUUCUCCCCCAAAAUGAGUUAGCAGCAGCCCCCCCCUCCCCCCCCUUUUUUUUUUUUAAGAAACCUUCCCCCUUUUUAAUUUGAUUGGUCAUCUGUUCAACCUUUACUUCUGAUUGGCCACAAAAGCACAUACCUCUUUGGGUUUUUUCCCUCAAAGUGAGAGUUUAAAUAAUUUCUAAAAUUUAUAUUUUAGUAACACAACUUCAAACGUCCGUAACUAUACCGUUAUAAUCCGGACUCGCAAAUGGAUUUCGCCUAUGCAUUCGUGGUUUCGAGAUCUAUUCGAAAAUAUAAAUUGUAACCUCUAAAGGUCUACGAAUUUUAAAUAAUUACUGAUCAAAAUUCAAACUUCGUAAUUAGUUUAAUUAAAAUCUAAAGUUAAUAUAAAUUUCCAAAAAUAAUAUAAAUUCUCCUUGAUACCAAUACAUAGUUUGCAAUAGUGAAAUCCAGGAACAGAAUUUCACACAUUUCCACCCAAAAGAUUUCAAACUUGACAGUCCAGAAAAUCAGAGCACCUUUUGAUAAUCCUAUCUUUACAGGUUUGCUUGCUCGCUGCAUCAAUGAAACCGAUAUAUCUGUUAGUCCCAUUACACCUACCAGAAGAUUACAGUUAUGUCGCAAAUGAGAGAAGUGAGAGAAAAGCAUCAUCCAGGAUUUACCUCGUCAUGCAGGAGAAUCAUACAUAUCCACCCCAAGUAGUUCCACAUUAUCAGACUACAAAUAAUUCACUCCCCUCGCCGCUCUCCUGUAAUUUCAUCGGAAUUAGACUCUGAAACUCUAAUUUAAGCUGGAAUAUUGCUGAGGACAAUCAAUUUAAUAAUAAAUAAAUAAAAGUACCUGGCUUUUGUCUUGAGAGUUGAGAGUUGAGAGUUGGAGAGAGUGAAAUGAAAGCUCAUAUGAUGGUGAUUUCAUCAUCUAUGUUUAUGCAAGGAAUGCGAGCUAUGUUUCUCCAAUCUUUUCCCUUCUUGUUCCGAUACUUCUUCUUCAGAGAAGGACAACCCUCGAUGCUCAGAUAAGAAAGAGAUGCCGGCAAACCCUCUUUUGGCAGGAAUUCGAGACUCUGGCAGCCUGAAAUUUCUAGCUUUUGAAGAGAAGUAAGGUGCUCAAGUCCCUUUCCGUCCAAAGAUUUCAGAUUCCAUACACCACAGAUUUCGAGAUGGUGAAGAGUGGCAGGGAGCAGCUGUUCAUUGAGCAACGUCUCCACCAGAUCCUUGCUUACUCCGACGAUCCCAAAUGAUUGUAGGUUGGGAGGCAAACCCCCUUGUGCAAAUGACACCACAUUUGGAAGAUUGGCUAUCCCCAAAUCUUGAAGGGCGGUGAGGGUGUGCAUGCGGUCCGGCAACAACUUCAAAUUGUCACAGUAUAAGACUUGAAAGGAAGUGAGGUUGGGAGUGGGCAAUCCCCCGUCGGGAAAAGAGACAAGAUUUUGACAUCCAUUAAUAUCCAGGGAGUUGAGAUGGCUGAGAUUUUCAUCUGCUCCUCCUUCAACUGAAAGAGAUUCCAGAUUCUCACAAUUACCGAUAGAAAGAGAUGAAAGGUUGGGGAAAAUGCCCAAAGGGAACGACCUCAGAGAAUCACAGCUGUCGGAUAGACUCAAAGACUGAAGGGAAGUCAAUGUGGCCAUCAUCUCACCUGAUAGGAAUUCUAAUUUCUUGCAAUUUUCUAUACCGAGUGACGUCAGCGUGGUGGGCAGACCAUUUGUAGGGAACGACAAGAGUGAGGAACAUCCCCAUAAUGUCAAACUUUGAAGACGAUUGCUGUUGUGCAUCAUUUGCGGCAACCAUUUGCUUCCACCAACACUACCAAUACGGAGCAUCUGAAGCGAUGGCAGCGUCUCCGUCGACUCUAGUAAUAAUGAGAGACCCGGGCAUCCCUUUAUUGUCAGUUCUUUAAGAGAUUCCCGUAAGGAUUCCGCGUUCAGGGUAUUACUGGCCCUGUUUUCAUGUAGAACCUCACAUGCCAAGACCUGAAGUAUUUUCAAGGAAGGAAGACGAAUGGGCAUGUUUCCUCUCAGCUUCGGACAUGAGAAUAACCUCAGCUCCUCAAGACGAGGAAAGUCUGGACUUUCACCUCCACUUGGACUUGGCUGCCAUUCCUCCCACUCUGGCAUCUCCCAAAACUCUAACUUCUCUAAACAUUGAAAUGGUUGAUUUCCGCCGUACAACUCAACACCAACACUCUUAACAACUUUCAUCCUUUCUACGUAGAGCUCUUUCAGAGCAGGUAGCUGACCAACUGGUGGCAAUGAACUGCAAUUACCACAGUCACUGAGACGCAUCACUUGUAAGUUGGAGAAGGACGAGUCUCCCACCCAAUUCGGGAAACUGAUUCCGCCAUAACACCUGAUGGUUAGCUUCACCAAAUUUACCGAAGGUUGAAGUCUUUCGAGCACAUAUCUCUCUUUUACGGAAUCAUUGGAAACCACACGACCCCAUGACAACUCUACCUCGUUGAGAUCUUUCUUAUCCUCCAGCAAGGCAUCAAUAGCACCGACUACAUUUUGCAGAUUCAAGAUAGAAAUUUUUCUUCCAAGGUGCGACAACUCCCUCAAUUCUGCAAUGCUUGACCCAGAAGAUUUCCCCAACACAAAAGCUGUCAGUGUUCUCAAACUUUUUAGUCUACCCAUAUGCACAGGCAUCUCUUUUAUGUUAGUUCCACCAAUAUCAAGAUGACGCAAAUGAAUCAAUUUCCUCAUGUCUGCAGGCAAUUCAACAAGAGAAGAACAACCGAACAACAACAGAGUUUGUAAAUUGUAGAGGGUACACACUGUAUCUGGUAACCUUUUAAUUGUCGUAUAAGAGAGAUCAAUGUAGCGCAAGUGUAUGUGGUUACCAAUGGAAUCAGGUACGUGAGUGAUGUUUUUGUAUCUUGACAAUGAAAAUGCUCGUAAAUAUUUUUGUGCUGGUAGUAAAUCAUCUAGAACCUUGUUGCUUACAUAUUCAUGAUCCCAACGGUAAUAUGGUGCUAAAGACGCUGGAAAGAAGGUACGCAAACACUUGACUCCUUCUAGUGGCUCAAAUUUUGGAGAUGUAUCAAAUUUUCCUCGCAUAUACGACAAGUGGCGAACUCUUUUAGGAACUUCAUGUGAAUUUUUCUGAUCCAACCUUAAACAAAACUCUCCAGACACAAACAUAGCCAAGUCAUUGAUAAGAUCAUGCAUUGUGAAACUUGGUUGAUCCAAUCUUGGUCUUUGAAAUAGUGACCGCGAUAACAGUUCGUCAAAGUAUCUUUCACCAACCUCCUCCAUAGCUUUCUCGUUCUUUGCAUUAGGAAUUAAGCCUUCUGCCAUCCAUAGUGGAAUUACAUUCUCUUUUUCAAAUUCAUAGUCUUUUGGAAAAAUUGAGCAAUAAGCAAAGCAUCGUUUCAAGUAAGUUGGAAGAUAGUGGUAGCUCAAUCUUAGAGAAGGAAGAACACUAUCAGCAUGCGGUAGAUCCCAAAGAUUGCUAUUCAAUAUGUGAUUCCAUUCCUUGUAGUCUAGGUUGCAACUUAAGAGACCCCCUAGCGUUUUUGCAGCUAGAGGCAAACCGUUGCACUUACGUGCAAUUUGCUUACCAAUUUCAACCAAGUUUGGAUGUUCAUAGGGGUUUUCAUUUCUAAAUGCAUGUUUUGCUAGUAACAACCAACAAUCUUCAUCUGACAAAUUUUCUAAGUUGUGAAUAGGAAUAGUAUUGUGCACAAUGGAUGCAACACGUCUACUCCUUGUUGUUACAAUGACCUUGCUUCCCUUUGCCCCAUACGUGAAAAGAAUUCGUAGACGCUCCCACUCAUUAUAAUUUUCAUUCCAAAGGUCAUCCAAGACAAGUAAAACUCUCUUUCCCCUCAGCUGUUCCCUUAGUUGAACUUCAAGGGAAUUCAUCUCCAAAUUGUCACAAGGCUUUUUAGUGAUUUCCUCAAUAAGGGUCUUAAUAACCCUCAAACCCUCAUACUGUUCGGAAACACAAACCCAAGCAUGAGUAUCAAAGUGGUCUUUAACUUGUUCAUCAUUGUAAAGGAGUUGAGCAAGAGUUGUCUUACCAACCCCGCCCAUUCCGACUAUAGGGACUACAGAAAAAUUACUGCUACUUUCAUUGUCAGAUAGCAGCAGUAGAGAUUUUAACUUUUCUAUAUCGCCAUCCCUUCCAUAGGUACAAAAUUCGUCCUCAACAACAGAAGUUGUGGGAGUUCUUUGUGAAACAUUGCCCCCAACACCUCCUCUAAGACCGAGGUUGUCUUUUUGUUUUGCAAGGUGUUCCAACUUGUUGAACAAAUCUUCUAUUCUACGAUUCAAGGAUUUAUAAUGAAAAGGAUUAAGGGAGGUAGAAAGGAUGUCCCGCACCUGGAUUUUCUUAGUCUGAUCUUUGGCCUUGCGACGCAAAUCUUCAGUAUCAAGCUCAUCCACCAAGUCCUCGGCAUCGAACACAGCAUGUUUGAGCUCGUCUAGCCACAUCCCGACGGCAGGGUUGACGAUCUGCUUCUCCUCUGCAUCGUUGAGCACUGCAUGGAGGGUCAUCAACGUCACCUCCAGUCUGUCCAUGAGUGAAUAGUCGAGUCUUCUUGCCCGGAAGAAGUCCAUGAACUGUCCGGAGGCAAUCUUGUCGCACAACACCUUGAUCGAACCGGAUAGCAAAGCCUCUCCAACCAAAGCCAUUUUCUCUUCUUGGCUAAAGGACUAAUUUUGAUCAAGUAUUUGGAGUUGAAAAACUGAAAAUUAUUCUUGGCAAAGCCUUUUAAGAUUACUUCAUGACGAGAGAGACGACUUGAUAUUUUUCUUGGUUAAUAAUGCAGCGGACCACACACGGCAAACAUAAAGUAGAAAUUAGUAGAGGUUGGAAAACGUUACCGAUCCAACAUUAAUUUAUUAAUUAUAUUCCUUCAUAAAAAAAUCGUUGUUGGUCAUGAAAAUUGGUGGAGUUGGAAAACAUUACAUCAAACAUUAAUUAAUUUAUUAUUUUAUUACAUAUAUAGAUGACAUUAUUUGAUUUGAGUGCAUCUUCACAUGUGAGACAAAGUCAAAGAAAAUAGCUCGGUGAAGAUGAACACAAUUCAAGAAUUCUAUCUAAUCUUAUCAGAACAUCUCAUGAUUCCCAUAUACUGGCCAAUGAUAGAUCACAAAUAUUAUACUUUACCUAUAUCAUCGAUUUCACAACAAAUCCAAUUUAUUUUUUACAUGUUUUCAAGAACUAUUUUAAGAAGUGACCAGAUGGGCCAUAGUGAUUUUCGAUUGGACAAAGCUCAUGGGUUAUGACAAACGCCCAGUUUCUACGCUAACAGUUUGAAAGUUGGAAGUAUGCAGAGUUUGUGAAACCAAGGGCUUUGUUCUCCUGCACAUGGAAAAGUAAAAGAAAAUGGCUGAGACUAAUCUCAAAUUGUUAAGUCGUAAAAAAAUAUGAAAAUUUCCAUUGAUGGAGCGGCGUAAAAUAAAAAAAAUUUAAAAAAUGCUGUAAUUGGAUCUCAACAUUUUUCCCUUGUCUUACUAAAAGAGUAGAAAAAAUCAUCGCGGGUAGUAGAGUGGUCAAGGACGAAGUCUAGGUUUAUAUUCCACACGACACGUCAAGAGUUCAAUUCUUGAUGCUGGUGAAUCACACAAUAGUGGUUAUGGGAGCUGAAAUACCUCUGCAAGUCUUCUCGGCACCCAAAAAUGUGAACCGCAGUGCCACCAGCUGAUUCCAUUUUUAAAAAGAAAAAAAUAAAAUAAAAGAAUAGAAAACGUUGGGGUAAAUUAGAGCAAGACUAUGUGCUUUAUGUAUUCGAUAAUUGAUUUUUUUUUUUUUUAAAAAAUAGAAGGCAAUAGUUUCAUUAAAACAUACUAAUGUGAUUUAUUUGAUAAUUGAUAAAUAAAUAAAUGAAAUGUGCUUUGUUUGCCUUCCAAUUGUUGUAACGGUCACAUUUGGAUCUUUGACCCAUAUGAUGAUCAAAUGGCCUCCACCAUCCUCUUGUGAUGAUUGAAAUCUCCAAAACCAAAUCUUGGUACUACUCUGUGUAUUCUACUCCAAUUCCAAAGGCUCUAUCUUCAUCUUCCUAUUAAAAGAAAAAUUAAGAAAUUUUCGGACGUGACUUCAACGCUAUGUAGCAUUUAAUGUUACGAGUGUAUUAGUUAUCAUAUUUAAUUUUCACAACUAUUACAUUUUAUAUUUUCUAUUCUGAAUAUUUAUUUUUUAUGACACUCAGUACUAUAUGCUUUUUGAAGAAAAAUGGAUUGUACUUUUUCUUGCUUUGCCAGUCUGCCUAUGUAUUCAACAUUCAUGGAACCAUUCAAGUUUAGGAUUUGGUUUGCAUCAGCAAUGCGCUUCAUCAUGAGGAAUUUAAUUAUAGGAGAAAUUUUUCAGUGUGCCAAAAACACUACUUGGUAUAUCAAGUGUAAUAAUGUAAUUAGUUGGAAUUAUUUUCUUUUUCAAGUUUCUAACCCAAUUAUCUUGUUACACUUAGAAUAAUGAACUGUGUUCCUGACGUAUUGAUAAAUCUCUCCACAUAUGAGGGGCCUAAAAUCUAUCAGUCUAGUUUCUAUGCCAACCAUGCCCCUUUUCUUAAGUAUACUUAAUCUUUAAUUUUCUUGGGUUAGCCAAUUUUGAGUCAAGGUUAACAUGUUUUUUCACAAAACUAAUUAAGAAAACACUCUAGUUGCGUAGUUAUAUUGUCAAAUUAUCGAAUUUGAUACUAUAAAAUUAUAUAAUCAAGUAUACGUUACCGCUAUUUAUAUUAAAUAAACACUGUAAUACUAUAACAUACUAUAUUUCAUGAUGAACAAAAAAUUUCCUUCAACGCUAAACUCAUGUUUAAUAUUGAAAUUGUUAUUGAAUAAUGAGGCACGACUUGCAAUAAACCUCACAUACAUUAACAAUUGAAAAUCGUUGAGACCCACUCUUCCAUGUUAUUAUGUUGACAAAAUGUUCCCAGACCAAAAAUAUACCAUAAAAUUCCAUGAUAUUGAUUCCACCAACACGCUGUCGUUUAAGGUCCCUCCCAAAAGUCCCUCAUAACCGUUGCAAACCCACUCUCAGCAUAAAUAUUCCUUUCAAACCGACCCACGCGCCCAUUUUCCAACCGUUUAAACCCCACUCCCUCCCUCUCUCUAAACCUCCAAGAACUCUAUCUCUCUCUCUCUCUCUCUCUCUCUCUCUCUCUCUCUCUCUCUCUCUCUCUCUCUCUACAUGUUUUCAAUCAUAAUCUGCAAGUCCUUUGCUUUUGCAAAGAAAAUCCAAAACCCAUUAGUUUCCAUCCAUCUGAAAUCGAAAUCUCCGCCUCCAUGGCUCCAAGAAAGCUUCUUGAUUUCUGGGUCGUCGUCUUCUUCCUCAUAGCCCUCUUCCUACGCCGUGGCUCCGCCGAGAACGUCAACAACUACUUCCCCUCUUUCAACUUCCGAAACCUUACCGGCCUCACCCGCGAGUUCACAGUCCCCUCUUCCAGCUCCGGCGCCGUCAUAUACAACAACCCAAUUCUGUUCUUUGACCCGGAAUUCAAGCUACUCGAAUUUGAAGCCCGAAAAGCCGGUUUUGAGCGUAGAGAUCGAUCUCUCCGAGCAUCUGAAGGAGGUUAUGUUCGUGGGUUUUUUGGCCUAGACGGAAGGGAGCACGGAGAAGCAUCUGGUUGAGAAUUGGAGCUUUCAUACAUGCGGGUUCGUUGCGAAAAGGCCAAAGCUACAGCCCCACAAUGUGUCUGAUACUUAUGUGGUGGUAAGUGUAAGUCCGAGAAUUCCAUGCUAGGACCAACCAAUUAAUAGGUGUAUGAUGUAUAAUAAUUUGCAGAGUUUAUUUUCAAAUGAAAAAUUAAACAACAAAUACAAUAUAUCAAGAUAUAAUCACUUAAUGAAAUUGCUUAUAAAAUUACAAAUCACUGACUUGUUAUUUGAGGAUAGAGGCUUGCAAAAGCAAUCUCCUAAGAUAGAAAUUCGCCCCUACACCAAUGCAGUAGAUCAGUGGACGUCUAUCUUGGAGGAUACAACUAUCUAAUCCAAGUUCUUGCACACGAACUUAGAUUCUUGGCGAAUUGGUUGUGGUGUUUCUUUUUGGAAUAUGGAAAAAGGAAGCGAUGGAGUUGAUUGAUUUGUUUCUCAUACUGUAGCCAUAUAUACAACAGGUAUUCAUCAAUUUCCUUCCUGAACUUGUAACUAUUGGCCAAUUUCCCCCCUCAACUUUAAUUUUUGCCAAUUUCCCCCCUCAACUCUCAUAAUUAGUCAAUUUGCACCAUACUCUAAUUUUUUAAUUUGAUCAUAAUUAAACAAGUGUGUGUAAGAAACUAAAUAAGAUGUAUGUUAAUCAUUUUCCUAUGUCUUUAUCCUAUUACAAAUAGAUUAAAAUUUAGAAUUUUACAAUUUAUCAUAGAUAGUAUUAUUAGUCAUAAUAAAUCAGUAUGGAGUAAUUUUAUUUGAUUUUUUUAUUAUACAAAAUUGAUAACGAAAAGGAUUGAUGUGUACAUUUUUGUAUGUGAAUACAAUUUUCUUUAUAAAAGUGAAAGGUAAGUUCAAGUAAAUUGCGAAGAAUCGAGCUUUAGUGCAAAAAUGGCUAGUCAAUUCAUAAUUUUCGACUCCUUAUUAAGAAUAACCCAUUUUAUUGAAAUAUGUCUGAUCCAUGAGUUUAGGAUUAUUAUUUCUUCUUCUACAUGCUUUAAACCCGAUUCAUAACUUUUUCUUAUAAUCAACCCAUAUCACAUACUAAUUGUAUUAUGUUUUUGUACAUUUUAUCCUAUAUUAUGCAGGUGAGUUUAUGUUAAUUUUAGUACUUUGUUGGAAGUUAUUAGAAAGAUUGAAAGAAAAAAAAAAGAAUAGAUGGAAAAUUAAAAAAAAUUAACAGUAGGAUGCAAAUUGACUAAUUAUGAGAGUUGAGGGGGGAAAUUGACCAAAAUUAAAGUUGAGGGGGAAAAUUGGCCAAUGAUCACAAGUUCAGGGGGAAUUGAUGAAUACCUCUAUAUAAUGGCAAUUUGAUUCGUUUCAUACUGUAGCCAUAUAUAUAAUAGCAUUCGUGAACAGAUUAUUCAAACUUAUCCUUUUAGAUAUAACUUUUAAAAACUACAUCCUUAAAAUCAAACCUAAGGCCAAUCUUUGACAUUUAAUACAUACACCCAAACCCUUCAAAUUUAAGGUCUAAGGCUUUAGUCCAGUUUCUUUCAAACUGUAAGUAUGAAAACACACUUAUAAAGAGGACUUAAAGUAGGGAAAUGGACGAUAUGGGACUGGGAGUCCCACAUAAUCACAAGUUCCAACAUUCCAGUGUCCGGUUCGGGAGAUAAGCACCACAGGCGGCUCGGCUUAGGACUUGGUAUUGCUGGGCUUGCGUUCUUUUGCGUGGCGCUGUUGGUUUUCGGGUAUGUUUCCGUGACGAAAUGGAUGGAGGUGAGAAGACAGAAGAGCUUCAAAGCAGAGGUUGUGGCAAGUCUGAGAGAGUUUAGUUACAAGGAGCUAAAAUAUGCCAAUGAGGGUUUCAUUCCAGUAGGAUUCUAGGGCAUGGAGCUUUCCGGUCUGUUUACAAGGCGUUUUUCGUGUCUAUGGGCACCAUUUCUGCGGUGAAAAGAUCCAAGCAUUCCAUUAAAGGUAAAACUGAAUUCCUUUCUGAGUUGUCGAUUAUUGCUUGCUUGCGCCACAAGAGUUUAGUUCACCUUUAGAGCAGUUCCACCGGAGCAAAAAGAGGCCAACACCUAGUGGAAAAAACAGGCUGGGACUCAGCCAAUCCACUCCAGCCCGUGUGUUUGCCUGGCACCCAGCCCAAGUUGGUCUCCAAGCCAGCCCAGAAUUGACAGACCUUGGGACUGGCCUAGCUAACGCCAGCAUGACAUCAGCCACCUUGGGACUGGCCUGUCUCGUUCCGGGGGGUUCAUGAUUUCGCACACCGCCAACAGCGCUGCGCCCAGUCCAUCCACGAUGCUGGCCGAGGGGAAAUAUUCCAGCUUCAAAGACGGCGCAUUUCUUUCCGUGGUGGUCUCCAGCUUGAACGCUACUGCCUUGUCCUUCAAAAGCUUGCCUCAAAAGUUGAGGGUCUGGACCAAGUCGAGAAUCUGGACCCUCUGGGAGACGAUCUGGUGAGAAGUGAGCAGCUUGGCCACGGAGGGAUAUGACAACGAUGAGGAGAGAGGGGUGGAGAGGCAUCUCUGCGGCUGCUCCAUGAGGAUUUUGAGAGAACAAGAGGAAGGGAGAUCGGAAGGAGCGGUGAGGAAGGGAGGGUUAUAGUGGAACCUGACUUAUCCUUUUUUUUUUUUAAUAAAAUUAUUAUUUUUAUUAUUUUAUAAUAAAAAAUAAUAGAGUAAAUUACAUAGUAGCCCCUCAUGUUUGAGGUCAAUUACAACCCCAUACAACAACUUUAAAACAUUUCACUUUCAUACAUCCAGUACAAUUUUAUUUCAAAAUAAAACCUCUGUUAGAUUUUCCAUCCAUUAGUCUGUUAAAUGCUGACGUGGCUGCCACAUUUGUGCUGAUGAGGUUGCCACGUGGCAAAAAAAAAAAAUUUUUAAUUUUUUUUUAAAAAAUACCUAAAUCUUCUAAAUAAAAAAAUAAAAACCCAGAAUCUGAACAAAACCCCACCCCCGUGAACCCCCCUUAGCCUUCUUCUUCCCUGCUCCCAUCUUCCCCCACCCCAUACCUGCACCUUUGAAGGAAAAAAAAAAACCUGAGAACAACCCAUAUCCCAUAUCCCCGCGAAACCCAUACCCCAUACGACCACCCCCCAACCCAGAUCCCAUUACCACGCCCCCCCCCCCGACGCGAAACCUAACCCAGAUCCCAUUACCAACCCUCCGGCGCGAAACCCAUAUCCCCCCCGAACUGCAAGGACGUCAUCCUCACCCGCAUCAUCUUCGUCGUCGAAGACGACAACGAGCAGGAAUAGCAAGGCGACGAUGAGAAAUCCCGGUCGACGGUGAGAUCGGGUGGUGACGAAGGACCUUCGUGAGGAGCAGAGGGAUCAGAGAGAGAGAGCUCUGCGGUACAGGCCACGAUGCAACGCAUGACCCAAAUUCACCGCCACGGAGACGACCAGAACGUUGAGCCCAUUCCGACCCAACCCCCGACCCUCAUCCCACUCUCCUCACUCUCUCUCUCAAACCCCAAACCCUCCAGAUCCAAAACCCACACAACUCUGCCGGGUCACCACCGCCAACGCCUUCCUCCUCAGCACUUUGACCCUCCUCCCACUCUCCUCACUCUCUCUCUCAAACCCCAAACUCCCCAGAUCCAAAAUCCCCACAUUCUUCUCGCUUUCUAUUCGCCCCAACGCCAAUCCUAUAUCCAUCACUCUCUCUCCUCCUUCUGCUUUCUCACUCAUUUCUCUCCCUCUCUGACUCUCUCUCCGGCAACCCCCCCCCCCCCGGCGAACCCCCCAUAUCCCAUUAACCCCUUCCCCCACCCCCCUCGCGAACCUAGAUCCCAGAUUUGUGCAUUUUUUUUUUUUUUGCUUUUCUUUUCUGGGUUGAGAUCCCAUUAACCCCUUCCCCCACCCCCGCGAACUCAGAUCCACACAGUUCGGUGGUGUUGGGAUUGGGAGUGGGGAUGAAGAUGGUUAAGGGAAUGAUUUUUGGGAGGUGGAAUUUGUGGGAUUGGGUUGCAGGGAAAAGGUGAGGCUCGGGUUGGGGGGAAGGAGGAUUUAACGGGAAUGGGUCGUCGGGGGAGGGGGGGAGGUGGGAUUUGAAGGGAGUGGGUCGUCGGGGGAAUGGGGAUUUAACGGGAGUGGGUCGUCGGGGGAAGGGGGAUUUGACGGGAAUGGUUCGUUGGGGGGUGGGGGGGAGGAGGAGGUUGCUGCGCUAGGUUUCUGGGGGGAUUAAUGGGGAGGUGGGUUUGGGAUUAAUUGGUUUCUGGUUUUGGGGGUUGCGGGUAAAGCUUUCAGGUUUGUUUUUUUUUUUUUUUUUAAAUAUUUAGAAGAUUAGAUUAAAAAAUUAAAAAUUAUUUUUUUGCCACGUGGCAGCCUCAUCAGCACAAAUGUGGCAGCCACGUCAGCAUUUAACAGACUAAUGGAUGGAAAAUCUAACGGAUGUGUUAUUUUGAAAUAAAAUGGUACUGGAUGUAUGAAAGUGAAAUGUUUUAAAGUUGUAUGGGGUUGUAAUUGACCUCAAACCUGAGGGGCUACUAUGUAAUUUACUCAAAAUAAUAAUAGUUUAAUAAAAUUGACUAGGCUAUUUUUUUGUUAGGGUGGAGAUGCUUUGGCCUAUUACUGUUUAUUAGGGUCUAUUACUGUUCAUUUGAGUGGAUAAAUAGACUGGGUGCUGGCACAAAGUCAUUAGGGGUGGACUUGCUCUCAAGGCUGGUGUGUUGACAAGGGUGAAUUGCUUCUUGUUUACGAUUUCAUGCCUAAUGGAAGCCUCGAAAAGGCACUGUACCAAGAACCCGGACAAAGUACCUUGUUAGAUUGGUCUCGGAGACUGAAAGUUGCGGUUGGAUUGGCGUCUGUUUUGACGUAUCUGCAUCCGGAAUGUGAGCAGCAGGUAAUCCACAGGGACAUAAAGACUGUCAAUGUAUUGCUGGACGGGAAUUUAAACGCAAGGUUCAGUGAUUUCGGGUUGGCAAAGCUCAUGGAUCACGAUAAAAGCCAUUGUCUUGGUAGCUAUUGCAUCGGCCUUUUGGCUGGUCCAAUUUUAGGUACUGCUGGACUAAGUUCCAAUAUGCUCAUUGCAGUCCUCUUGCCCCGAAAGCAUCAAUUAAACAACAGCGGAAUGUGCUAAACUCUAUUCAGUUAUAUUGUUAAAGGAGCAAUUUCCCUUCUGCAAAAUGUAAAAUGCCCUCAGUUACCUCCUAUCAAAACCAAAAUACUUGUAAUAACUGGUUUUCGUUUCUCCUUGCAGAUUUCUAAAGUCCAUUUGUGAACGGUUUCUUGAGCAGGCGACACCCUUUCAACUCGAAAUGUAGCUGAAACGAGUACAACUUUUUUCGAUGUAUAGGAUUCCGUCGUAAUUGUUAUCUCAGAUAAUUUGCAGAUUGAUUGUAGUUAAGAAGAGUAACAAGUUCCAUUGGCAGAUAGGCAAUUACCUGAGCUACUCAGCAAAUAUAGCACAUUUUCUACGUGGGUUACAAAAGCAGCUCACCACAAAUAUAUACAAAUUUAACUACAACGGGAUGGUCCAAUGGUUGGGAACGAGUUUUAGACUCGUAUUCUACACAACACGUCCCGAGUUUGAUUUCUGGCGUUGGUGAAUCACAUGAUGGUGACCAAGGAAGGCUAAAAUGCUUUUGAGUCUUUCCAACCCUCAAAAUGGUGGACUACCAUGGCGAAGCCACUGGCAUUCUAGAAAGUGGUGCCAAAAAGCCAUGCUCUCUUCAACCAUUGUGUUUGUAGAGAAACAUAUGAGUAUAUACACCUACCUCAAGAUGACAGAGGCAUUGAAAGAUGAGUAAGCAUUCCGCCAUAUGGAACCACAGCAGUACAUAUGAGAGAAAAAAAAUACAUCAUCAAGGAGUUACUUGCAUCCCAUGCAGGGGUAAUCAUAUAUGCGAGAGAUUGCCGCCGCACCAAUCAACUACUAGUAAUAUGCAAGCUAAAACCGGUUGUUAUUAUAUUUGAUGAUACCGUCCUGAAAUUCAAAGAAACACGUAAAUGUUAGGGGAGAAAUUAAAAAUAAGAGAGAGAAGAAAGGGUAGCAUAGUUAAUCGGUACAGUUCAUUAGUUUUCUCUCUGGGCAGAUGAAGUCCCACAUACAUUCAAUCUUUAUAUAGAUGUUGACAAGAGCUGAGGUCUGCAGGUCCCUGUUCAAAGUCCAUUUCUGUCCAAAGACUUCAAACUUGACAGUCCAGAAAACCAGAGCACCAUUUGAUAAUCCUAUCUUUACAGCUUUACUCUGUUUGUUCGCUGCAUCAAUGAAACCGAUAUACCUGCUAGUACCAUCAAAUUGUCCUGACUUAGGAUAUAGUUGAAUUGAACUGUCAAAGAAAAAGACUGAUAUAUAAAAUGCAAUGUAGACAAAGCAAACUGAAGAUAGAAAAAGUGAGAGAGAGUAAAUUACAAUUUACAGCUGAUCUGCAAUGUUCCACCGGUGAAAUCCUCCUUAAUAUAUAUGCAAUCUAGUAAUGCAACGUACGUACUGGCAUUCAAGCAAGUACAGCCAUGAGGCACUCUUCAACUGUUGUGUAAGUAGCGAGAAACAUAUCUCCAGUGGACCUACCUGAAGAUUACAGUUACAGUGAAAGAUGAGAAAGUUAUGCCUCAAAUGAGACAAGCAUGAGAAAACCCUCACAUGCAGGAGAAUCAUAUAUAUCAGACUACAAAGAAGUCACUCCCCUCGCAUUCUCCUGUAAUUUCAUCGGAAUUAGACUCUGAAACUUGAAUUUAAGUAGGAAUAUUGUUGCUAAGGACAAUCAAUUUAAUCGUACCCAAUCAAUUUAAUAAUAAAUAAAAAAUUACCUGGCUUUUGUCUUGAGAGUUGAGAGUUGAGAUUUGGAGAGAGUGAAAUGAAGGCUCAUAUGAUGAUGACUUCUCCAUCGAUCUUUAUGCAAGGAAUGCGAGCUAUGUUUCUCCAAUCUUUUCCCUUCUUGGUCUCAUACCUCUUCUUCAGAGAAGGAAAAUUCUCAAUGCUCAGAUAAGAGAUGCCGGAAAACCCUCUUUUGGCAGCAAUUCGAGACUCUUACACCCUACAUUUCUGGCUGUUGAAGAGAAGUGAGGUGCUCAAGUCCCUUUCUGUCCAAAGAUUUCAGAUUCCAUACAUAAGAGAUCCAGAGAGUGUGAAGAGUGGCAGGGAGCAGGUGUUCAUUGAGCAAAAUCUCCAGCAGAUCCUUGUUUCCUUCGCUCCGAAAUUAAUUGGCUCCUGUAGGAAGAUUUCGUAUUAACCACCCAACAUCAAAUGUACUUAAAAGUAGUCAUUACAGAACAAAGCACACUAUGGUUCAUGAGCAAACUGAAAAGUAAUCAUUACAACUUAUGACUAUUACUAAGAUUAAAGUUUUUUAGGGUGUCAAAGAUUCACCUCAUCAAAAUCUUGUCGGAGAUUUCAACCCAGUUGAAGAAAAAAGAGUACAACACACCAACAAAUUACAAGUUAUGACUAUCUAGCUUGUAUUAAUUAAAACAUCCAAAAAAUGUCCAGGUGAGUCUUCAAACUAUAGCAACUCUUAAUAUCAUGCAAGUCUAUGUGCAACAUUUUUGGGCCUCUCAUCUCACAUAAUAUUGGAGCAAACGCAGAAUAAUCCUUCUCCUUUUGCAACAGUCCUGCCAAAGAUAGAGUGGAAUUACUCUCCACUUCCACAGCAGCAGCCCCCGAAUCAGCCGCCAUCGGCAGCCAACAACGUAGUGUUCUGGCCUAAAACGUACGUGGUAGAGAAAAAUGAACCCCCGCAUGCACUUGGCUGUACAGGCAGCAACAAUGUGUGUAGCUGCAUGCGAAUCAGAAAAACAAAUACCAUAUAAUAAGAGAAACAAUGAAUGGACCCCUUAGCGACUGGGAAAUCCAGCUAUGGGCGAUAACAUACAUGAAACACUACCAUGGUUGAGUUGCUACUUACCAAGAAGGCUUCCAAAUUUGCGAGCCCGCUGGGCCAACUUUCACCAUCAAACUUGGGUUAAGGCGUAUUAUCGUCCAUUUCUCCAUGGCAUCUUCCUCUUGAGCGGUUAACGAAUCAAACGAUUGCCUGGAUAUAUAGUGAGCAAUUCUGCAAUGUUCAAACCUCCGAGUCCAGAUGCAACUUUGAAUAUUCUCUUGAUUGCUCAUGAAAUCCACAAUGGUGAGAAGAAUGCUAUAACCUCUCAGUUCCUUUGGAUCACUUCCAGGAGAUAAGAUGUUCAUUGGCGGCAACAAUAGGCACAAUUUCAUUUAACGUAUGUGAUAUAUAUAUAUCUCUUUAAGGAUAGUAUGUGGAUGCAGAGUUUUGAUGAAAAUGUAGGAAAAGAACGCAGAGCUUUACCUUCACAUGCUUUGUACCAUUUCAUUAUAAAUCGAACUGUGAAAGCAAGUUUUCUCUCAAAUCCAUUUCAAUAGGAUGCCAACUCAACUGCUUUCCUUUUUCAUACCUCAGCUUAACAAGAUACUCCUAAAUUCAAAGAUGAAGAAAUUAUUAUUGAUACAUUUAUCUUAGAAAACAAGCGAAUGGAACUUAAAACAAAAGAGAGUGGUGGAACGCUCAAUUACCGCUCAUCCGCAGUGCUCAACGUAAGAAUUACCAUUCUUGUGAAAUCCGUUGCACACCAGCCAACCACUUAUUCAAGUAAUAUCAUUUACUGGAAUAGCAACAAACACAAGCAUGACAACACUGCUACAAGGAACAAGAGCGCUGUUCAACCACUGUAUGUAUAAAAGCAUAUCUGCACCCAGAGUUGCCAUCUGCAUCAAUAAAGCCGACAAAUACGUUAGUCCCAUCGUGUUGUCCUUACUGAUUGCAUAGUUGAAUUACAUUGAUACAUAAAGGAAGAACAAAUUACACUCGAAGUGUUCAACUACUUACACUUAAAUCCGUAGGCGCAGCAGCCAGCCACCAAGUCUAGUCACAUGGGCAUUCUAGCAAGCGGUGCCAAUAAGCCAAGCUCUCUCCAACCAUUGUGUUUGUAGAGAAACAUAUGUGUAUGCACCUACCAAAAGAUGACAGAAGCGUUGAAAGAUGAGUAAGCAUUCCGCCGUAUGGAAACCACAGAAGUAUACAUAUACACAAGUACCUGAGUGGUUGAAGUAAGCUAACAUCGUUUCCCCCCGUGAUAAUCCUAUCUUUACAGUUCAAUAGUUUUCUCUCUGGACCGACGAAGUCCCACAUACAUUCAAUCUUUAUAUAGCUAUUCAAGAGAGCUAAGGUCUAGAGGUCCCUGUCCUGGAAGGAAUUGCGUGCGUGGGAGGCGUUGAAAGUCCAUUUCCACCCGAAAUAUUUCAUACUUUACAGUCCAGAAAAUCAGAGCCCCAUUUGAUAAUCCUAGCUUUACAGGUUCGCUUGCUCGCUGUGUCAAUGAAACCGAUAUAUCAGAAGAUUAGAGUCAUGUCGCAAACGAGAUAAGUAUGAGAAAAGCAUCAUCCAGGGUUUUACCUCUUGUCAUGCAGGAGAAUCAUAUAUAUCGACCUCUCCUGUAAUUUCACUCCCCUCGCAUUUGGCUGCACAGUCCUGCCAACAACAACUUCAACGCAGAAUAAUGCUUCUCCCUUUGCUACAGUCCUGCCAAAGAUAGAGUGGAAUUAUAUCCACUUCCAUAGCAGCAGCCUCCAAAUCAACCGCCAUCGGCAGCCAACGACGUAGUGUCAUGGCCUAAAAUGUACGUGGUAGAGAAAAAUGAACCCCCGUGUGCGCACUUGGCUGCACAGGCAGCAACAAAGUGUGUGGCUGCAUAUGAAUCAGAAAAAAAAUGAAAGGACCCCUUAGCGACUGGGAAAUCCUGCUAUGUGCUAUCAUGUACAUGAAGCACUACCAUGGUUGAGUUACUACUUACCAAGAAGGUUUCUAAAUUUGAGAGCCCGCUGCUCCAACUUUCACCAUCAAACUUGGGUUAAGGCUUAUCAUCAUCUAUUUCUCCACGGCAUUUUCCUCUAGAGCAGUUAACGAAUCAAAUGAUUACCUGCAUAUAUAGUGAGCAAAUCUGCAAUGUUAAGGCUAGCCGACAUUCACCUCUCCCAGACCCUGCGUAAAGCGGGAGCCUUGUGCACUGGGUACGACCGUUUGUUAACUUGCUACAUCACACACACUAAUAUAUAGAAAACAAACCUCCAAGUCCAGAUGCAACUUUGAAUAUUCUCUUGAUUGCUCAUGAAAUCCACAAUGGUGAGAAGAAUGCUAAUAUAUAGCAAACAAGCCGACAAAUACGUUAGCGUGUUGUCCUGACUGAUUGCAUGGUUGAAUUACAUUGAUCCAUAAAGGAAGAACAAAUUACACUCAAGUGUUCAACUACUUACACUGAAAUCUGUAGGCGCAGCAGCUAGCCACCAAGUCUAUUUACGCUGGCAUUCUAGCAAGCGGUGCCAAUAAGCCCUGCUCUCUUCAUCCAUGGUGUUUGUAGACAAAAAUAUGUGUAUGCAGCUACCACAAGAUGACAGAGGCAUUGAAAGAUGAGUAAGCAUUCCGCCAUAUGGAAACCGCAGCAGUAUAUAUAUACACAAGUACCUGAGUGGUUGAUGUAAGCUAACAUCGUUUUCCCUCUGAUAAUCCUAUCUUCACAGUUGAAUAGUUUUCUCUCUGGACCGACGAAGUCCCACAUACAUUCAAUCUUUAUAUAGCUGUUCAAGAGAGCUGAGGUCUAGAGGUCCCUGUCCUGGAAGGAAUUGCGAGAGUGGGAGGUGUUGAAAGUCCAUUUCCAUCCAAAAUAUUUCAAAAUUGACGGUCCAGAAAUCGGAGCACCAUUUGAUAAUCCCAUCUUUACAGGUUUGCUUGCUCGCUGCAUCAAUUAAACCGAUAUAUCUGUUAGUCCCAUCACAUCUACCAGAACAUUACAGUUAUGGUGCAAACGGACUACAAAAAAUUCUUGUACAAUCAGGAGUACUAAAUCAAAAUCCCAAACAGAGUUUUAAUCCAAACCAAAACUGGAUUACUCUUAUAAACAAAUUGAGACCUUAUCACUUUAUUCUAAUCUGAAAUAACUGAACCGUGUGAAUCAUAAUCACACUCUAACAGAAAGUGUUUCAAAUGCAUUAAAUAGGUCAAUACAAAGAGUACCACUUGUUGACAUUACUGAGAUUCCAAACCCUCCUGCAUCAGUUUCUAAAGCUGAACCAUAUGCAGAUAGACUUAGUCUAGAUUCCGUGAACACUGAAUUCAGCUUAACAGGCACUCAUAAGAGCUUCAAACAGAGGCUUGGAAUCCAAAACAGAAGCAAGAGAAGAUAUAACAAUAAGGAGAACCUGAGCAUGUCACAAGGAACAAACGAUAUUAAGGGGACCACUAGAUCACUUCAUAAAAGGUUCAGUAAACUAAAAUUAUCUGGGAAAACCAGUUUGAGAAAAGGUGGUUCAAGUUUAUCAGAGCAGGAGCCGAAGCAUAACAAUAUUGUGUCCAGCAUGACUUCUUUCAUUCCACUUGUUCAACAGAAACACGCAGCUGCAGUUGUAACAGGUAAUUUCUUACUAGUAAUCUUAACCUUUGAACUUUGGAUUUUGCAUUACAUGUACAUAUUCCAUAUGAUUGUUUUUCUGAGUGUGGAUCAUAAUUGUACGUCUAAACUGGGUUACAGUAUGGAUGAUGGUUUUAUUUUUACUGAAUUAGGGAAUGUUUUAUUUGGAGUAGUAAAUUAGCAAUGAAUGUCUGGGAUCAUCAAGUAAAAUUUAGAGUGCAUAUUUGAAAGUCCCAUGAAAGCUGAGUUGCCCCAUUGUCCUCCAUAAGUAUGUUAUAGGUGACUUCAUCUUGUCAUACGGAGCUUGACAGUGAUUCAUUUGUUUUUUUAUUGUAUCCUUGUGAAUUCUUGUGAGUAUUCUGGGAUAUUUUUCUUUGUUUCUUUUUUUCUCUCCAAUGACUUGAUUCAGUAUUUUGACCUAUUUGUGUUUUCUUGCAGGGAAGAGGGACGUCAAAGUGAAGGCCCUGGAGGCAGCUGAAGCUGCAAAGCGUCAGGCAGAAAAGAAAGAGAAUGAACGCAAGAUGAAGAAGGAAGCCUUGAAACUUGAGCGGUCAAGAAUGGAGCAGGAGAAUAUGAAGCAGUUGGAGUUGCAGAAGAAAAGGAAAGAAGAAGAGAGGAAGAAAAAAGAGGCAGAUAUGGCAUCAAAUAAGAGACAAAGGGAAGAGGAAGAAAGGAAGGAGAAGGAAAGAAAAAGAAUGCGUAUUGAAGCACGUAGAAACAAGAGAGAACAUGAAGACAAGUUACCUGCAGAAAAGGUAGAGAAAGAAAUGAAAACCCUGGCCAUUGUAUGAUUCUUUAUGGUCUGCCUCAUUUCAUUAUAUCUAUCUUUUUGCAAUGUUAGAUAUCACUUGUAUAUUGGGCUGUCUUGUGUAGGAUGGAAGAGGCCCUGGGGGUAAGGAAUCUAAGGAUGAAAUGGCAAAUAAGAAAAUGGAGGAAGAAAGGGGAUAUGACAAUAACAUAAAUAUUUCGGAGACUAAGCCUAGUACUUCCAGGAUUUCAAUAAGCAAUGCUGGAAAAGAAAGUAUUGUCCACGAAGAGUUCCACGAGGCUUCUAGUAAUUAUGGAUAUAAAGCAGAGGUAAAUGCAAAUGAUUUUUUAACAACCAAUACCCACCAUAUCUUAGGAUCUACUUGCAUAUAUUGAGUGCUUUCACUUGUGUAGGCUGGAGCAUGAUGAUAAUCCUCUGUUAAUGGAGUUUGAAAGUCCAGAUGCAACUUUGAAUAUUCUCUUGAUUGCUCAUGAAAUCCACAAUGGUGAGAAGAAUGCUAAUAUAUAGAAAACAAGCCAACAAAUACGCUAGUCCCAUCGUGUUGUCCUGACUGAUUGCAUAGUUGAAUUACAUUGAUCCAUAAAGGAAGAACAAAUUACACUCAAGUGUUCAACUACUUACACUGAAAUCUGUAGGCGCAGCAGCCAGCCACCAAGUCUAUUUACACUGGCAUUCUAGCAAGCGGUGCCAAUAAGCCCUGCUCUCUUCAUCCAUGGUGUUUGUGGACAAAAAUAUGUGUAUGCAGCUACCACAAGAUGACAGAGGCAUUGAAAGAUGAGUAAGCAUUCCGCCAUAUGGAAACCGCAGCAGUAUAUAUAUACAAAAGUACCUGAGUGGUUGAUGUAAGCUAACAUCGUUUUCCCUCUGAUAAUCCUAUCUUCACAGUUCAAUAGUUUUCUCUCUGGACCGAUGAAGUCCCAUAUACAUUCAAUCUAUAGCUGUUCAAUAGAGCUGAGGUCUAGAGGUCCCUGUACUGGAAGGAAUUGCGAGAGUGGGAGGUGUUGAAAGUCCAUUUCCAUCCAAAAUAUUUAAAAAUUGACGGUCCAGAAAAUCAGAGCACCAUUUGAUAAUCCCAUCUUUACAGUUUUGCUUGCUCGCUGCAUCAAUUAAACCGAUAAAUCUGUUAGUCCCAUCACAUGUACCAGAAGAUUACAGUUAUGGUGCAAACGGGAGAAGUAUGAGAAAUCAUCCAGGGAUUUACCUCUUCUCUUGCAGGAGAAUCAUAUAUAUUGACCCCAAGUAGUUCCACAGUAUCAGACUACAAAAAAUUCACUCCCCUUGCACUCUCCUGUAAUUUCAUUGGAAUUGGACUCUGAAACUCUAAUUUAAGCUGGAAUAUUGCUGAGGACAAUCAAUUUAAUAAUAAAUAAAAAAAGUACCUGGCUUUUGUCUUGAGAGUUGAGAGUUGAGAGUUGGAGAGAGUGAAAUGAAAGCUCAUAUGAUGGUGAUUUCAUCAUCUACGUUUAUGCAAGGAAUGCGAGCUAUGUUUCUCCAAUCUUUUCCCUUCUUGUUCCCAUACCUCCUCUUCAGAGAAGGACAACCCCGGAUCUUCAGAUAAGAAAGAGAUGCCGGCAAACCCUCUUUUGGCAGGAAUUUGAGACUCUCGCAGCCUGAAAUUUGUAACUGUUGAAGAGAAGUGAGGUGCUCAAGUCCCUUUCCGUCCAAAGAUUUCAGAUUCGAUACAUCAGAGAUUUCGAGAGUGUGAAGAGUGGCAGGGAGCAGCUGUUCAUUGAGCAACGUCUCCACCAGAUCCCAGUUAACGAUAGAUAAUGUUUGUAGAUUGGGAGGCAAACCCCCUUGUGCAAAUGACACCACAUUUGGAAGACACUCUAUCGACAAAUGUUGAAGGGCGGUGAGGGUGUGCAUUCGGUCCGGCAACAACUUCAAAUUCACGCAAUGGUCUACUGAAAAGUAAGUCAGGUUGGGAGUGGGCAAUCCUCCGUCAGGAAAAGAGACAAGAUUUGGAAGACUGCCUAUCAAUAACCUUUGAAGGGCGGUGAGGGUGUGCAUUCGGUCCGGCAACAACUUCAAAUUCUCGCAGUUGUAGACAUGAAAGAAAGUGAGGUUGGCAGUGGGCAAUCCCCCGUCGGGAAAAGAGACAAGAUUUCGACAUAUCUGGAUAUCCAGGUAGUUGAGAUGGCGGAGAUUUUCAUCUGCUCCUCCUUCAACUGAAAGAGAUUCCAGAUUCUGACAACGCAUUAUACGAAGAGAUGAAAGGUUGGGGAAAAUGCCCAAAGGGAACGACCUCAUCUCACCUGAUAGAAAUUCUAAUUUCUUGCAAUUUACUAUACGGAGUGACGUCAGCGUGGUGGGCAGACCAUUUGUAGGGAACGACAAGAGUGAGCAACAUUCAUAUAAUGUCAAACUUUGAAGAUGAUUGCUGUUGUGCACCAUUUGCGGCAACCACUCUCUCCCACCAUCAUCGUAAAUAUCAAGACUCUGAAGCGACGGCAGCGUCUCCGUCGACUCGAGUAACAAUGAGAGACCCGGACAUCCCUUUAUUGUCAGUUGUUCAAGAGAUCGUCGUAAGGAUUCCGUGUUCAGAGUAUUACUGGCCCUGUUUUCAUGUAGAACCUUACAUCCAUCGACCCAAAGGAUUUUCAAGGAAGGAAGAUGAGUGGGCAAGCUUCCUCUCAGCUUCGGACAUUGGCGUAACCUCAGCUCCUUAAGACGAGGAAAGCCUGGACUUUCACCUCCACUUGGACUUGGCUGCCAUUCUUCCCACUCUGGCAUCUCCCGAAACUCUAGCUUCUCUAAACAUUGAAAUGGUUGAUUUCCCCCGUACAACUCAACACCAACACUCUUAACAACUUUCAUCCUUUCUACGUAGAGCUCUUUCAGAGCAGGUAGCUGACCAACUAGUGGCAAUGAACUGCAAUUACUACAGUCAUUGAGACGCAUCACUUGUAAGUUGGAGAAGGACGAGUCUCCCACCCAAUUCGGGAAACUGAUUCCGCCAUAACACCUGACGGUUAGUUUCACCAAAUUUACCGAAGGCUGUAGUCUUUCGAGUACAUGUCUCUCUUUUACAAAAUCAUCGGAAACUUCAGGACCCCAUGCCAACUCUACCUCUUUGAGAUCUUUCUUAUCCUUCAACAACGCAUCAAUAGCACCGACUACAUUUUGCAGAUUCAAGAUGGAAAUUUUUCCUCCAAGGUGCGACAACUCCCUCAGUUCUCCAAUAUUGGACCCAGUAGAUUUCCCCAGCACAAAAGCUGUCAGUGUUCUCAAACUUUUUAGUCUACCCAUAUGCACCGGCAUCUCUUUUAUUUUAGUUCCACCAAUAUCAAGAUGACGCAAAUGAAUCAAUUUCCUCAUGUCUGCAGGCAAUUCAACAAGAGAAGAACAACCUAACAACAAUAGAGUUUGUAAAUUGUAGAGAGUACACACUCUAUCUGAUAACCUUUUAAUUGCCGUAUAAGAGAGAUCAAUGUAGCGCAAGUGCAUGUGGUUACCAAUGGAAUCAGGUAAGUGAGUGAUAUUCAUAUAUCUUGAUAAUGAAAUUGCCCGUAAACAUUUUUGUGCUGGCAAUAAAUCAUCUAGAAUCUUAUUGCUUACAUAUCCACCAUUCCAACUAUAAUGUGGUGGUAAAGACACUGGAAAGAAGGUACGCAAACACUUAACUCCUUUUAAUGGCUCAAAUAUUGGAGAUGUAUCAAAUUUUCCUCUCAUAUAUGACAAGUGGCGAACUUUUUUAGAAACUUCGUGCGAAUUUUUUUGAUCCAACCUCAAACAAAACUCUCCAGACACAAACAUAGCCAAGUCAUUAAUAAGAUCAUGCAUAGUGAAACUUGGUUUAUCCAAUCUUGGUCUUUGAAAUAGUGAACGCGAUAACAGUUCAUUAAAGUACCUUUCACCAACCUCCUCCAUUGCUUUCUUGCUCUCUAAUUGUGGAAUUAAACCUUCUGCCACCCAUAGUAGAAUAACAUUUUUCUUUUCAAACUCAUAGUCCUUUGGAAAGAUUGAGCAAUAAGCAAAGCAUCGUUUCAAGUAAGCCGGAAGAUAGUGGUAACUCAAUCUUAGAGAAGGAAGAAGACUAUUAGGGUGUGGCAGAUCCCAAAGAUUACUAUCCAAUAUGUGAUUCCACUCCUUGUAGUCUAGGUUGCAACUUAAGAGACCCCCUAGCGUUUUUGCGGCUAGAGGUAAACCGUUGCACUUACGUGCAAUUUGCUUACCAAUUUCAACCAAGUCUGGAUGUGCACCGGGGUUUUCAUUUCUAAAUGCAUGUUUUUCCAGUAACGACCAGCAGUCUUCAUCCAACAAUUCUUUUAAAUCGUGAAUAGGAAUAGUAUUGUGCACGAUGGCUGCAACACGCCUGCUCCUUGUUGUUACAAUGACCUUACUUCCCCUUGCCCCAUACGUGAAAAGAAUUCGUAGACGCUCCCAGUCAUCAUAGUUUUCAUUCCAAAGGUCAUCCAAGACAAGUAAAAAUCUCUUUCCACUCAGUUGUUCCCUUAGUUGAACUUCAAGGGAAUUCAUCUCCAAAUUUUCACAAGGCUUUUUAGUGAUUUCCUGAAUAAGGGCCUUAAUAACCCUCAAAGCCUCAUACUGUUCGGAAACACAAACCCAAGCAUGAAUGUCAAAGUGCUUUUUAACUCGUUCAUCGUUGAAAAGGAGUUGAGCAAGAGUUGUCUUACCAACCCCGCCCAUACCGACUAUAGGGACUACAGAAAAAUUACUGCUACUUUCAUUGUCAGAUAACAGCAGUAGAUCUUUUAACUUGUCUUUAUCUCCAUCCCUACCAUAGGUAUAAAAUCCGCCCUCAACAACAGAAGUUGUGGGAGUUCUUUGUGAAACAUUGCCUCCAACAACAUCUUCUCUAAGACGGAGGAUAUCUUUUUGAUUUGCAAGGUGUUCCAACUUCUUGAAUAAAACUUCUAUCCUACCAUUCAUGCCUUUAUAAUUAAAAGGUUUACGACAGGUAGAAAGGAAGUUCCACACCUGGGUUUUCUUAGUCUGAUCUUUCGCCUUGCGACGCGAAACUUCAGUAUCGAUCUCAUCCACCAAGUCCUCGGCCUCGAACACAGCAUGUUUGAGCUCAUCAAGCCACUUCCCGACGUCAGGGUCGACAAUCUGCUUCUCCUCAGCGUCGUUGAGCACUGCACGGAGAUUCACCAACUUCAUCUUCAGUGUGUCCAGGAGUGAAUAGUCGAGUCUUCCUGCCCGGAAGAAGUCUAUGAACUCUCCGGAGGCAAUCUUGUCGCACAGCAACUGGAUGGAACCGGAGAGCAAAGCCUCUCCAACGAAAGCCAUUUUCUCGUCUUGGCAAAAGGACUAAUUUUGAUCAAGUAUUUGGAGUUGACAAACUGAAAAUUAUUCUUGGCAAAGCCUGUAAGAUUACUUCAUGACUGGUGAGACGACUUGAUCUUUUUCUUGGUCAAUAAUGCAGUGGACCACACACGGCAAACAUAAAGUAUAAAGUGGUGGAAGUUGGGAAACGUUUCCAUCCAACAUUAAUUUAUUAAUUAUUUUCUUCCAUAAAAUAAUCGUUGUUGGUCAUGAACAUUGGUGGAGGUUGGAAAACAUUACAUCAACCAUUAAUUUAUUUAUUAUUUUCAAUGUGUCUAAAACAUUAACCGGUAUAUCAAGUAUAAUAAUACAAUUGAUCGAAAUUUUUUUUUUCAAGUUUCUAAUUCAAUUGUCUUAGUACACUUGGCAUAACAAGCCGUGUUCCUGACAUAUUGAUUAAUCUCCCCACACAUCAAGAGGCCUAAAAUAUAUCAAUCUUCUUACCCUUAGUAUAACGGUUAUAAUUAUUAUAAUUUAAAAAUGAUCCUCUUACUUGUAACCGUUAGAUGUGUUAGUGAGAAGGAUCUGCCCCUUACGCUCCGACCACACACGUCAAACAUAGAGUAGUAAUUGGUGGAGUUUGGAAAAACACAGUAAAAAGAGGGGUGUGCUAUCCACAUCUCUUUUUAUUUUUUCCACUCCUUGUUAAUUUUUGUAAUUUGAUAUUCUUUAAUUCAUCUGAUCCGACGGUGAAAAAUUAAAAAAAUAAGAAAAAUAAAAAAUAAUAUGUGGAUAUCACAUCCCUAAAAAGAAUCACGCAAUACAUUUGGAUCUCAACAUUUUUCCGUAUGAUAAGAUCACAUGUUCCCACCAUCGUCUUGUAACCAUCGUCUUGUCACCAUCUUGUCAUUAUUUCUACUCUGGUUCUAAUUCCAAGGGGAACAUCUUCGUGUGAAAAAUAAAGUAAAAGUUUCUGGCAGGACCUCAAUGUUGGGUUGAAUUUCUACAAUUAUUAUUUACAUUUUAUACUUUUAAUCUCAACCACUAUUAUACUUUUAAUCUCAACCACUUAUUUUCUACAACAUUCAUUAUCAUGUGCUAUGGGGAAAAAAAAAAUAAAAAUAAAAACUUGAAAAGUUUCUUGCUUUUUCUUGCUUUGCCUAUAUUUUCAACAUUAAUGGGACCAUUCGUGUUUACGAUUUGGUUUGCCUAUUCAUUCAACGUUCAUGGGACCAUUCUGCUUUGCCUAUAUUUUCUUGCGUUAACCAAUUUUGACUCAAAGUUAACAUGUUUUUGCACAAAACUAAUUAAGAACACACUCGAGUUCCAUACCUUAUAUUGUCAAAUUAUCGAAUUUGAUGCCGCAUAAUUAUACAAAAGUGCAUUUAGAUUAACAGUGCACUUCCUCUUUUACAUCUAAAUUUGAACCUCCAUUUUUAUCGCUAUAAUUUAUACGAGUUUAAUAUAAAUUAUCUUAUCAUUUAUUAAAAACCCCACUUCAUAAAUAAGUAGAUGCGAUAUGUUUAAAUGCAAAUCUGUAACAAAAACAAUGGAAAAGAAUAAGUACAGAUGUUUAUGGAUAGCAAAGGUCUCGAAAACAUAUAUACUCCACAAAAUCUAGCACGAGAGUAUUGAGCCUAGAUAAUAUAACCUCCUCCCCAAUACUAAUUUAUAGCUGAUUUAUUUUGUGGUUUAGCUAAAAUCACCAAUUCUCAUUAUCAUUGUACAAAUAAAUAAAUAAAGAGUAAAUAGUAGCAAUAGUUUCUUUAACUUUAAUCAAAUUGGUUAAAGUUAAGGGACUAUUGCUCCAAUUGAGUUAAAAUUAAAAGAUUAUUUCUCCAAUUGGAUUAAAGUUAAGAGAUCAAUGUUAAUGAAUUUUUAGUUGAGGGACCGCACGUUUUGAUGGGUUAAGGAACUAAUGAUAAUAGAUUUGUAGUUGAUGGACUAUUGCUCCAAUUAAGUUAAAGUUAAGGGAUCAUUGCUACAAUUUAUUCAUAAAUUAAACAAAGGUAAGAAGAGAUAUGAAAUAUUGCAGAAGAAUUGUUAUUGACACUCCAAAAAAAUCAUUAUGCAUUUGUGUAACAAAGUUAUCAAGGAUGGAUUGAGUGCACGAUGACUUUCUUUUGCUAAUAACAAAUUCCUAAAGUGGAUCACAUUAUUAAUAUUGCUUUUGGAAAGAAUUUCUGUUAUCUGCAUCUUCUACAUAUAUAAAGUCAAAAGGGAAAACAGGUGAAACAUUUAAUAUUUCAAAAUUGCCCCUUUUAUUACAGGUUAUAUAAGAGUAAAAAUGUAAGGACAUGAUGGUAAAACCAGGCAAAGGAGAGAAAGUGGAGGAAAAAACUAGAACAUGCUUACAGAAAGAAACUAUAUUUGAAGCAUCCGUUUGGUUGCCCAGCCCACAAAAAAAAUAAAAUAAAAUAAAAAUCCCACAAUUAAAUCUACAAACAACGGAAAUGUGACACUGAUGUUAGCAAACUUUUAUGGUCUUCAAUCUCGAUAAUUUAUGUGCACAUUGGAAUCCAUACUUCAUACUUCACUUGUUUUUGUUGAUCUCUUGUGAUAGGAUACUGUGUGAUAACUGAAUUGGUUGAUAAGUAAGCAUUGUAUUAGUGCUGACUAGGACAGAUAUGUAUGGUUAAAAAGGAUAAGGUUGUUAGUAGUAAGCUUACGGAGGAAGCUAACUAGCUACUAUAUUAGAAAGGAUUGUAAACGGAAGGGUCGUUGUUGUAAUUGUUGUUAAUUGUAAUAGAAAGUUACUUGUUACUGCUACAUAGAAGUCAAGAUGCAGAGUUAGGGUUCUAUCAUUGGUAUCACCGCCAGUGCAUUCGAUCCGGCUUGAUCCUUCUUCGUGUAUGACUCGGCUCGGUUCCAGACGCACCAUGGAAACGAGAGUAUCUCAGCUUGAGUCCCUAUUUGCUGAUUUCCAGAAGGAGUUCAAAGAUUCCAGGCAUGAAUUUCAAGAAUCAAGAACUGAAUUUCGAAAUGCCCAUGAGCUGAUUUUGCAGCAAUUGCAGGUGUUAUCGACGAGAGGUAGUGGGUUGAUGGGCGAAUCGUCGGAAGGGACACAUUCUGAUCACAAUUUACCGCCGGGAGUGAAUCCUCAGUUUGUUCGUCAAGAAUCGAUUCCGUCGCCUCGACAACCAUUUAUCAAGAUCGAUUUUCCCAGAUUUAGUGACGGCGAUGACCCCUUGGGGUGGAUCUACAAAGCAGAGCACUAUUUUGAUUUCUUCGGUGUCGAGGAUUUCAAGAAAGUAAAGAUGGCAUCAUUCCAUCUGGAUGGCGAACCUCUACAAUGGUUCCAAUGGGCUAAUUGUAUCCGGACAUACCCUAGGUGGGAAGAUUUCACUCAAGCUCUUUGUCAAGAAUUUGGUCCGUCGGAGUUCGACGAUUCGGCAGAAAGCUUGGUUAAACUUCGCCAAACGGGAUCUCUGCGUGAUUACAUCUUGGAGUUUCGAAGAUUGGCGAAUCGUACAAGGGAAGUUACCCCAUCUCUCUUGCGAUCUUGUUUCAUUGGUGGUCUUAAAUCGGAGCUGCGUCAUGAUGUCAAAAUCCUAAAGCCCAGAGACGUUCUGGAGGCCACUGCUUAUGCUCAACAGAUCGAUGCCAAGUUGUCUGAAUUAAAGGUCAAGUCUUUUCCUCGUUCAUCUGUUAAUUCUUCGUUUCGUCCUCCAUUACAGAAUGUUGCUGAUACUGUUGUGGGAAAUAACAAAUUCAAACAUGAAAAUGUGAGGCGAUUGACACCUGAAGAGGUCGAAUACUGUCGGAAACAUGGUCUUUGCUUCCAUUGUAAGGAAAAAUUUGUUCGCGGCCACACUUGUGAGAAGAAACAACUUUUAUUGAUUGAUGUUCAGUAUGGUAGUGAUAAUGAAGCCUCUGACAUUGAAAAUUUGGAACCUGAGAUUACAGCAUGUGCCCUUUUUGGUACCCCAGCUCCUAAGUCAAUUAAAACCAUGAAGGUUCUUGGUAGUAUUAGGAAUUGUCCGGUGGUAAUACUUAUCGAUUCUGGUAGUUCCCAUAACUUCGUGGAUUCUGUGUUGGUCAAGAAAAUCAAUGGACAAUUGAAUACAGAUCAUUCUUUUAGUGUCAAGAUUGCGGAUGGGGGCCAAGUCAAGACUACAGGUUCUUUAGGGGCUGUUUCACUCAAGAUUCAACAAGAAUCUACUAUAUUAGAAAGGAUUGUAAACGGAAGGGUCGUUGUUGUAAUUGUUGUUAAUUGUAAUAGAAAGUUACUUGUUACUGCUACAUAGAAGUCAAGAUGCAGAGUUAGGGUUCUAUCAUCUUGGCACAUCUAUACUAAAUUGUUUGGUGUUAGUCGGUUUGUUUGAUUCAUAUUUCAAUUUUGUAAGUAGCCAGAGUAUCUUAGGAAAUGAAAAUAUCAAAAAUAAAAUAAACAUUUGUAAAUAGUGUCAAGCGCAUGUAGUUAUAAAUUUGUAAGUCACACGUAGCAUGCCUGAUUAAAGGCCUUUAAUCCAUGUCCCAUUGUUAGCACGCCUGAUUAAAUGCCUCUAAUCCAUGUACCAAUUGUUAACAAUGAUAAACAACUAAUGCAACAUAUUUUAGGGGUGGGUAACGCCUGUGAUUAAAAAACCUUACGCGCAUGCAGAGAUGCUAGUUUAGAGUAAAUAAAGAAGACUGUACAUACGCAAAUGUGGGAUAAACUAGGGUUGGAUACGGCCAGGCCAAACUCAAAAUUGAAGCAGAUGGACCGGACCCGUUUGUAACUGAAAUGUGACGGGACAGUGCUGGUCUUGUUAGCUGAGAAAUGAAACCGGACUUAACCUGACUCGUUUGAAAUGAACCUGUUCCUACAGGUCCAAGGGUCAUUUUUUUAUAUAAAUUUUUUGUUAAUAAACUAUGACUGUUGUGCUUAAAGUAUAAGCUGGGUGUGCUUGAACAAAAUAGCUGUUGUGCUACAAGUAAAAGCACAAUAAAUUAUAGUGGAGUAGCCUACCAUCACUUUUCAAUUUUCAUAAGUUCCAAGUGAGCCGAAGGCAAAGGCUAACAGUCAGCCAAAAUGCCCAACUGAAAAUAUAGAAAAGAAAGUACACAAACAGCAAGUUACAAAAUGAUUGUCCUUUAAACCAAAUCAUGGUGACGCCAAAUUGCCACAAACCAACUUGCAAAUUUGAAUUCUUCAAAUCUAGAAGACAAUCUUAACUCCAUGCAACCUCCCUAAUAAAAUUAAAUCAAUCACAAAACCCUAAUAGCAAUUGAUUAACAUGAGAUUAAUAAAUUUCAUCGAAAAUCUAAUUAGAUAAUACCUUUAAAUUAACCACAAAAAUAACAAAACCGCAUCAAAAUCCCAAUUUUCAAUUCCACUGUAGAGAGAAAUCGAGUAGAUCCCCCAAUAAAAUGAAACAUGCAAAUGAGAAUUAAAUAAUUACAACUCAAAUUAAAAGCUUAUGCUUUCAUAGACAUCUGAAUUCUUGAAAAUUUACCCAUCUAGGCGGUAGCCCCAAUUAGUCGAAAUCGAUCGAGCAUGAGAGAUUUUCUUUCAUAGACAUUUGUUUUACUAGACAUUUGCUUUCAAACGAGCAUGAGAGACUCAUGUAGAACAAGAUAUGGAUUAAUUUUGAAGACAUCCAUCAUAUGGUAAAUUAUUAGAAUUGGAUAUCUACUUUUCCCUACAAUAAUAACUGGGUGUUGUUAUUGGAACUCAACUCACAAUCAAAAUAUAAUUAUCAUUCAUUUUUCUCUCUUCGUGGCCAAAGGACUAAUUUUGAUCAAGUAUUUGAAGUUGGGAAACUGAAACUACAUUUAUGUGCUCAUCUGAAAACCACAUUUAUUUGAUCACGUUUUCUUUCAUUACUUUUUUUUAUAUACAUUUUCUAACAUGCCAUUACAUAAUCUGAUCUCUUUUUAAUUGUAUUAUUGUAUCAGGUAAAAAAAACCACAUUUAUGGUAAGGACUUUAUGCAGAGCGGGCGGGAACCACCAAUAUUUUGGUGGUUCUGUCAAAUGCCUUAAUUGUUGCUGAAGAUUCAAGAGUUACAGCAUUUUAUGGUGAAAGUAAUAUUUCUUUAUCUUUAACUAACAAAUUGAUUAUUACUCGACUAUGUUUAUAGUAUAUGCAGUAUAUUAAUUGGUUCUAAUUUAUAUAUACAGUUCGACCCGAAGAAAAGAAAGUUAAACGCAUUUCUAAGAAUCCUCCAACACGAGCAACAUGAUGUCAUGAUCAAUGUGAUGCGCAUUAUAUGUUAGGACAUAUAUUCACAAGGAAGAUAUUAGAGUCCAUUAGGAGAGAGCAAUGCUUCUUUCCUUGCUUGGAAAUUCGCCUAUUUUUCCCUCUUCCACUUCACAAGGACUUGUAUCAGGAGGUUUGAAUGCAUUCAUAUUGAUCAUGACACCAUGUUGCUCGUGUUGGAGGAUUCUUAGAAAUGCAUUUAACUUUCUUUUCUUCGGGUCUAACUGUAUACAUAAAUUAGAACCAAUUAAUAUACUACAUAUACUAUAAAAAUAGUCAAAUAAUAAUCAAUUCGGUUGUUAAAGAUAAAGAAAUAUUACUUUAGCCGGAAUAUGAUGUAACUCUUGAAUAUCCAGCAACAAUUAAGGCAUCUGGCUGAACCACCAAAAUAUUGGUGGCUCCCGCCUGCUCUGCAUAAAGUCCUUACCAUAAAUGUGGUUUUCUUUGCCUGAUACAAUAAUACAAUUAAAAAGAGAUGAGCACACAAUCAAAUUAUGUAAUGGCAUGUUAGAAAAUGGAUAUAAAAAAACGUAAUGAAAGAAAACUAAAGACAGAAAACUUGGUUUUACUUACUGUCUUAGAGAUUUUCUGUUUAAUUGUUCUCAUCAAAUUGUUUGUCUACUUUCAUUUGGUCUUUUAUAAUGUAUAAGAUUGUGUUUGAAGGGGUGAAUAUACUGAUGAACUGAACGCAGUCAAACCUCAUGAUACAAGUCCGUGUGAAGUGGAAGAGGGAAAAAUAGGCGAAUUUCAAAGCAAGGAAAGAAGCAUUGCUCUCUCCUAAGAGGGAAAAAUACCGACUAUAGGGACUACAGAAAAAUUACUGCUACUUUCAUUGUCAGAUAGUGUUUUUAACUUUUCUUUAUCUUUAUCCCUACCAUAGGGACAGAAUCCUUCCUCAACUACGUAAGUUGUGGGAGUUCUUUGUGAAACCUUGCGCCCAAUACCUUCUCUAAGACCAAGGCGAUUUCGCUGUUCUGCAAGGUGUUCUAACCUCUGAAAUAACUCCUCUAUCCUACCAUUCAUGCCAUUGUAAUUAAAAGGAAUACGAGAGGUAGAGAGGAAAUUGCACACCUGGGAAUCAGAAAACACAUUCAUCAGGAUUUGAACCCAUGGGAAUCCUGCAAGGUGUUCUAACCUCUGAAAUUAUAAACCGAUUAAAGUUUCAGCAACAAGGAGAUUACUCAAUCAGAAAACACAUUCAUCAGGAUUUGAACCCAUGGGAAUCAGCUGUAAUUAAUAAUUAUCAAUAAUUAAAAGUAAUGAACCAGAAAUUCUAGCAAAAAUAAUUCGCAAUUGCAGAAAUACAGUAAAAUCUGCAUUCCAAUCAAACAGAGGGCAUGGAAAAUCGAAGUGUGGAUGGGAAUUUACAGACCUGGACGAGCUAAACUAAAUUUCAGGCCUAACUAGUAACUACAUUAUUCAGACACAAUCCAAAACAAUACUGCUAUGUUAUAUAUUCUAAACAAAAUUAGCUUACUGUAACUCAACCAUUGAAGCCCACCAAUUAGGGCUGGGUUCGGUUUAAAACGGUUCGGUUUUUUGCCAAAACCGAAACCGAACCGAAAUUUCGAUUCAGUUCGGUUCGGUUAUUUUUUUUUUCGGUUCGGUUUUUUUCGGUUUCGGUUUUUUCCGGUUCGGGUUUCGGUUUUUUCGGUUUUUUUUUUCUUUCAAAAAAUGAUGUAAAUAAUGGAAGGAGCUUACCUAUCAACCUCCCAAUUCUCAUAUAUCAGAGAAUUGAGAACCUCAAAAUCCUGAAUAUAACUUUAAAAUUUGCAAAAUCAUGAAAUAAUUCAACAAAUUAACUGAUGCAGAUCAAAAAAAAAAAAAAAAAAAGCAAAUGGGUUCGUCUAAAUGCCAUAAUCGAACUCCAAUAUCACAUGUCCAGUGCCCAUAUUCAAAUUCAUAGUCUAGUCCACAAUAGAUCUAGAAAAUUCCAAAACAUAUUCAGAGAAAAAUACAAACUUUUCCACCUUAAAUUACAUAAAUUUCAAAUGGGUAACCUAAAAUUAAAAACCCAUAAACUGAAAAAUAGAUAAAACCCACAACCUUUGCUGCAGCGAUAUCGCAGUGAUCGUCGCAAGCUCUUACAAUUCCUCUUUUCGUCGGGUCUCGAAAGGGGCGAGGGAAAAUCAUUGUUUGGAAGAAAGAAUCCACGAGGAGGACAAGAGAAGACUAGAGAGAGUGAUUUGGAGGAAGAGAGGAAGGAGAGGGAGAGAGAGAGAGACUGAGGAAGCAGAGAGGAAGCCGCGGCGGGGAGAGAGACUUUGAGAUCUGAAAAUGAAAUGGGAAUGGGACACUGACGACUAGGGUUUUAAGCUUAAGAAAUUUUAUAAACCAUUCAAUAUAAGAAACCUAUAAAUAAUAUACUAGUACAAUUAUAACAAUAGAAAGCCUACAGUCAAGUUGGCUGACAGUACCUAAACCCAACCUACAGGUCAGGGGUUCGAACCUUGAUGCUAACAUAUUUUUUAGUAUUUAUAUAUAUAUUUUUUUUCGGUUCGGUUUCUAGACCUCAAAAACCGAAACCGAACCAACCAGAUUCGGUUCGGUUCGGUUUGGCAGUUUCGGUUCGGUUUUUUUCGGCCUCGGUUCGGUUUGGUUUUCGGUUUUUUUCGGUUUUCGGUUAUUUGAACCCACCCCUACCACCAAUCCCCCUAUAAUCCAAAACAACACUUCUCUCCGUGCUUGGCAAUUGCAGCCAAUCCAUCCCCCUAUAAUUCGUGCAGGUCCUAUUUCCCCAUCCCCUAUAAUUUUAUUCCACAAAUUCGUGCACCCACCCUCCCAAAGACCUGCAGGUCCUGCACUGCACCCACCCUAAACCGGAACCCAUCCAACCUGAAACCCUCCCAAAAACCUGCACCCAUCCUAAUCCGAAACCCACAGUCCUCAAACCCUCACACAUUCGACAAAAUGCUCAGAAAUCAAGUUAAUCAACAUGAAAUUUGACCCUAAACCCUAAAGAAAAGCCCAGCUUACCUGGAUUUUGGGUCUCGAUUCGUGUCAGAUUCGCAUCUUCCUGCGUCUGUGUGUGUGGCCGGAUGAGCGUCGUUGAAGUGAACGGAGGAGCGGCGUUCAAACUGGACGGGCUUGACGGAGGACGGGAGGAGCGCUGGAGCGCCGUUUGACCUUUGUUCUUCGAGAGAGAGUGAGUGAGCGAUUGAGAGAGAGAGAGGGACCUAACUUACAAUGGUCAUUAGGAUUUAAUCUUAACCAAUCUUACGGUGCAAGUAAUUUCUAAUUAUAAAUUAAAAAUAUAUAUAUUUAUAUAUAUAAUAUUUGGUUCGGUUCGGAAUGACUGAACAGUUUCAAAGAUGAGGCUGAAUCCCAAACCAAAACAUUUCGGUUUCGGGUACCGAAUAUUUCGGGAAAUUUUCGAUCAAAAUUUGGGAAGGAUUAGGGACGGUUUGGGAUUUUCAAGAAAAAAUUCCAUUCCUAUAAAUUUGAAUCACUAUUCUUAUCUCUGUAAUUUAGAUGAGUUUAUUAUAAAUUAUCUUAUAUUUUGUUAAAAAAUCCAUUUCAUAAAUAAGUAGAUGUGAUAUGCUUAAAUGCAAAUCUGUAACAAAAGCAAUGGAAAAGAAUAAGUACAAAAACGGAAUCGUUGCCUUUUAUCUCUAGGUAAAAUAGAGCACCAAGAUGGUCAUCAAAGAGGUUUUGAUUACGACUGCCCACUUCACCUUCUACGAAUUCAACAUCAAGGACAAUCAAUGGGUUCGUUUCCCGAAUCGUAACUUCCAGUUCUCCAUUUGGUUGCCCACAGAAAAAAAACCACAAUUAAAUCUUCAAACAACGGAAAUUUGAAGCAUAAAGUGAGAACAAAUAGGUCGAAAUGUGACACAGAUGUUAGUAAACUUUAUGGUCUUCAAUCUUGAUAAUUUAUGCACACAUUGGAAUCCAGACUUCACAUAUUCGCUUAUAUUUGUUGAUCUCUUGGCACAUCUAUACUAAAUUGUUUGGUAUUAGUCAUUUUUUUAAUUCAUAUUUCAAUUUUGUAAGUAGAAAAGGUAUAUUUGUAAAUGAAGAUAUCAAAAUAAAAUAAAAAUUUGUAAUUGCGCCAAGCACAUGUAAUUAUAAAUUUGUAAGUCACGCGUAGCACGCCUGAUUAAAGAUCUCUAAUCAAUGUACCAUUGUUAGCACACUUGAUUAAAGGCCUCUAAUCCAUGUACCAAUUGUUAACAAUGAUAAAUAACUAACGCAACACAUUUUAGGGGCGGGUAGCGCUUGUGAUUAAAAAAAUGCCUAACGUGCAUGCAAAGAGGCUAGUUUAGAGUAAAUAAAGAAGAUUGUAAAUAUGCAAAUGCGGGAUAAGUUAAGUGUGGAUAUGGGGUAGGCUAGACUCAAAAUUGAAGCAGACGGACCAGACCCAUUUGUAAAUGAAAUGUUGCAGGGUAGGGCGGGUCUUGUUAGUUGAGAAAUGAAACCAGACUUAACCUGACUCGUUUGAACGAACCGGUUCCUACAAGUUCAUGGGUCCUUUUUUAUAUAUAUAAUGUUUGUUAAUAAGUUAUGACAGUUGUGCUUGAAGUAAAAGCUGGUGUGCUUGAACAAAAUAGCUGUUGUGCUCCAAGUCAAAGCACAAUAAAUUAUAAUGGAGUAGCUUACCAUCACUUUUCAAUUUUCACAAACAGCAAGUUAGGCUAUCUCCAACCGAGGGCUGGUCAGAUGGCUCGUUUUAGCCAUCUGACCCUCAAAGAUAUUAAGGUCAUCUCCAACCGAAGGUUGGCCAGUAGGCUCAUUUUAGCCCUCUGGCUUUCCAAGAUAUUAAUAUUUUAAUGAAUAGUACAAGGCCAUAUUUGCAUCAAUCUCCAACUGAGGGCCAAAGGCCCGGAGGGCUCAUUUUAGCCCUAUCACAAAAAACUUAGCCCUUGGUUGGAGACGGAUUUCGGGCUAUUUUUGGCCCUCUGGACAGGCCAUCUCCAACCAAGGGCUGGCCAGAGGGCUCGUUUUAGCCCUAUGGCCCUCCAAGAUAUUAAUAUUUUAAUGAACAGUACAGAGUUAUAUUUACCUUCAUCUCCAACCGAGGGCUAAAGGGCCAUAGGACUCGUUUUAGCCAUAUCACGAAAAAUCGUCUCCAACCGAAAGCGGUCGGAAGAGGCAGAAACGCCUCUGUGAGUCUUUCUAACCCCUGAAUGGGUGGAUAUGGCUAAGCCAUUAGCUAGUCUCCUUUUUAAUAAGAUAAAAAUAUAUAUAUACACACACACACACAUUUGCUACACCAACUAGUAUAGGUAAGUCCACAUUAGGCUAGGUUACAAAAUUUAAACUUAAAAGCCGCAGACUUGGGUGGCUAGAGCAAUGUGGUUCGAAUCCUUGUUUUCAUAUCCAUAAUUUAGCUAAAUUUAGUGUGGAUCAUCUUAUCGUUUUUUCAUAAAUCCCGUGUAACGAAUAAUUCAAUGUGAUAUGUUUAAAUGCAAAACUUGAGCGAAACACAGUGAAAUGAUUAGAAACUAUCUCCACCACAUAUCUGUACCAAAAACAAUGGAAAAGAACAAGUACAAAUGUUUACAUGAGAGAAGUUGUAAGGACUUGGAUUGUGAGGGUCAUCUCCACUUUGAAAGUAAUAGCUGAAAGUUGGAGGUUCAUGCAGAUUAAACCAUUCGCCAUUGAUGAACACCUCAAAAGAGCGAAACCAGCCCUGCUGAAACUUUUAAGUACAAAAUUAAAAAAUAAACAGUUCAAAGAUCCGACUUUGAUUUGCAUCAAUGAAAGUUGCAACGAAUGCGAACUAUAUUGCCUCAAUCUUUUCAAUUCAUAUUCUUUGCACACCUCUUCUUCAGAGAAGAACAAACUUUUUGGUGAUAGAUGGCGGGAAAUCCUCUUCUGGCAGGAAUGCAAGACAAUCGAUGAUGCAUAGCUGAGCUGAGGUCCUUCUCCGGGCAGGAAUUCCGAGAGUGCGUGGUGUUUUGAUCCACAGAUUUCAAACUUGAUCGUCCAGACGGUGUGAGUGGAAGAGAGCCGCUGUUGUUUGAGCAAUGUCUCCAACAGAUCCUCACGUCCCCUGAUCUGAAAUUCUCCAAGGGAGACAUAGCACAGCUCGAUUCCACUGUUAAAAAAUACCCGAUAUUAUAAAUGCAAAUAUAGACAAGGCAAAAUGAAAAAAGCAAAAGAAAAGGAAGGUAAAUUACAAUUUACAAAUCAUCAGUGUUAAACCGAGAAUCGAUAUUUAUCCUUCUGGUGAAAUCUGUAGCGGAACAACCAGCCUCCUUGUCAGCCUCCUUGUAUGGUAACGCAAUGUACUGGCAUUCAUCCAAACACAGUUAAGUGGUGCUAAAUACAGAUUAGUGUCAAAUUAACUUUGAAGACAAUCAAUUCUGUUGGAAAAUUUGAGGACAAUCAAUUUAACAUAACUACAGAUAAGUGGUACUAAAUACGUACCAGGCUUUGUCUUGAGAGUUGAGAGUUAGAGUGAAAUGAAGGCUCAUAUGGUGAUUUCAUCAUCUAUCCUUAUGCAAGGAAUACGAGAUAUGUUUCUCCAAUCUUUUCCCUUCUUGUUCCGAUACAUCUUCUUCAGGAAGGACAACCCCAGAUGCUGAGAUGAGAAAGAGAUGCUGGCAAACCCUCUUUCGGCAAGAAUUCAAGACUCUCGCAGCUCAAAAAUUCGUAGCUGUUGAAGAGAAGUGAGGUGCUCAAGUCCCUUUCCGUCCAAAGAUUUCAGAUUCCAUACAUAAGAGAUCCAGAGAGUGGGGAGAGUGGCAAGGAGCAGGUGUUCAUUGAGCAACGUCUCCAGCAGAUCCUUGUUUCCUUCGAUCUGAAAUUAAUUGGCUCCUGUAGGAAGAUUUAGUAUUAACCACCCACCAUAAAAUGAACUUAAAGGUAGUCAUUACAGAACAAAGCACACUAUGGUUCAUGAGCAAACUUAAAAGUAAUCAUUACAACUUAUGACUAUUACUAAGUUAAAGUUUUUUAGGGUGUCAAAGAUUCGCCUCAUCAAAAUCUUGUGGGAGAUUUCAACCCAGUUGAAGAAAAAAGAGUACCACACACCAACAAACUACAAGUUAUGACUAUCUAGCUUGUAUUAAUUAAAACAUCCAAAAUAAUGUCCAGGGGAGUCUUCAAACUAUAGCAACUCUUGAUAUCAUGCAAGUCUAUGUGCAACAUUUUUUGGCCUCUCGUCUCACAUAAUAUUGGACCAAACGCAGAAUAAUCCUUCUUCUUUUGCUACAGUCCCGCCAAAGAUAGAGUGGAAUUACUCUCCACUUCCACAGCUGCAGCCGCCAUCGGCAGCCAACGACGCAGUGUUCUGGCCUAAAACGUAUGUGGUAGAGAAAAAUGAAACCCUACGCGAGCACUUGCUGCAAUGCAGCAACAAAGUGUGGCUGCAUACGAAUCAGAAAAACAAAUACUAUAUAUUAAGAGAAACAAUGAAUGGACCCCUUAGCGACUGUGAAAUCCUGCUAUGUGCGAUAAUGUACAUGACGCACUUCCACGGUUGAGUUGCUACUUACCAAGAAGGUUUCUAAAUUUGAGAGUCCAUUGCUCCAACUUUCACCUUCAAACUUGGGUUAAGGCGUAUCAUCGUCAAUUUCUCCAGGGCAUCUUCCUCUAGAGCGGUUAACGAAUCAAAUGAUUGCCUGCAUAUAAAGUAAGCAAAUCUGCAAUGUUCAAAAAAAAUUUGCUUCGUUUGUUAACUUGCUAUGCGAGUCACACGACAUCACACACGCUAAUAUAAAGAAAACAUUGCAUAUUCUCUUGAUUGCUCAUGAAAUCCACAGUCGUGAGAAGAAUGCUAUAACCUCUCAGUUCCCUUGAUCACUACCAGGAGAUAAGGUGUUCAUUGGCGGCAACAAUAGGCACAAUUUUGUUUAAGGUAUGUGAUAUAUAUAUAUAUAUAUAUAUAUAUAUAUAUAUAUAUAUAUACACACAUAUAUAUAUAUGUAUGUAUGUAUAUUCUUCUUUAAGGAGAGUAUGUGGAUGCAGAGUUUUGAUGAAAAUGUAGGAAAAGAACGCAGAGCUCUACCUUCACACGCUUUCUACCGUUUCAUUAUAAAUCGAACUGUGAAAAGCAUGUUUUCUCUCAAAUCCAUUUCAAUAGAAUGCCAACUCAACCACUUUCCUUUUUCAUACCUCAGCUUAACAAGAUACUCCUAAAUUCAAAGAUGAAGAAAUUAUUAUUGAUACAUUUAUCUUAGAAAACAAGCGAAUGGAACUUAAAGCAAAAGUGAGUGGUGGAACGCUCAAUUACCGCUCAUCCGCAGAGCUCAACAUAAGAAUUAUCAUUCUUGUGAAAUCCAUUGCACACCAGCCAACCACUUAUUCAAGUAAUAUCAUUUACUGGAAUACCAACAAACACAAGCAUGACGACACUGCUACAAGGAACAAGCGCUCUGUUCGACCACUUUGUCUGUAAAAAAGCACAUCUGCACCCAUUCGAAGAUAAGAAUGACAUCAAGAGAAGAUGAAAAGGCAUGUCUCCCAUACUCAAACUAUAAACAGUAUUAGAAGAAAAAAACAUCAUUCCAGGGAUUACCUCGCCGAUUAAAGGAGAAUUAUAUUCAUGCCAGAUAACUGGAGCUAGCACCAUUCAAGGACAACCAAUUGAUGCAUGUUUAAAUCGUUGGCUGUAGAUAAUCCUAUCUUUACAAGUCCAGAGUUGCUAGCUGCAUCAAUAAAGCCGACAAAUACGUUAGUCCCAUUGUGUUGUCCUGACUGAUUGCAUAGUUGAUUUACAUUGAUACAUAAAGGACGGACAAA